RNAcentral lists this long non-coding RNA (4059 nucleotides) under Homo sapiens (human). RNAcentral's name for it is "HSALNT0320046". The record is from RNAcentral. Lineage: Eukaryota; Metazoa; Chordata; Mammalia; Primates; Hominidae.
UGUCAGAAAAGUCAGUGGUAAAUUUGAGAAAGAUUUUUGUAAAAAUAUAAUUGUAUUAGUUUGCUCUCACACUGCUAUAAAGAACUACAUGAGACUGGGUAAUGUAUGAAGAAAAGAGGUUUUGUUGAUUCACAGUUCUGCAGGCUUAAUAGGGAGCAUGACUGGGAGGCCUCAGGGAACUUACGAUCAUGGCAGAAGGUGAAGAGGAAGCAAGCACCUUCUUCCCAAGGCGACAGGAGACAAAGAGAACAAAGAGGGAUGUCCACACACUUUUAAACCAUCAGAUCUUGUAAGAACUCACUCACUAUCGUGAGAACAGCAAGGGGAAACCACCCCCAUGAUCCAAUGGCCUCCUACCAGGUCCCUCCCCAAACACUGGAGAUUACAAUUCAACAUGAUAUUUGAGUGGAGACACAGAGCCAAACCAUACCAAUAAUUUUAAAAAGAACUUUUAUAUUUUAUUUAAAAGAUAAACUACUCAGAAAAUUUGCCAAUUUAGAAAAUGCUUAUUUUCAGAGAAUUGUGGGUGGUCAAAGUCUUACACUCUUUGGAAUAAUUUAAGAAAGAGAUAAUAUAACACAGGUUUAUAGAACUGAAGAUUGGUUCUUGAUUAAGAAAGCACACUCUGGGCAAUAAUAUGCUUUAAAAAAUGUCCUUUGGAAUUUAGCAAAUAAUGAUUCGUUAGUUCAGUUGCUUAAAGCAUGAUAUAAAUGAAGCCAUGCAUUGUCUCAGGAUUAAGUUGCAUGAAAAAGGUGUGCUCGAUAACAAUCUAUACCUCUGUGUAGGCUAGCCACUCACAAAUGAGUACUAGGCCAAGCUUCAUUUUUCUUGUAGAACUCUUUGUAGUGGGUCAGGGCCAUCGUCCUUGUAUACUAAUGUAUUUGCUAUUAUUUUUUCUAUUACUUCUAUAUAAUUCAAAUUUUUACUUUAACCAAUCAUGGUUUUGAGUAAGUAUGUUUUUAAAAAUGUUUUUCAUACCUAUUCCAUUCAUGAGAUGGAGUUUGCCAGGAUAGACAAGACAUUUUAUUUGGAAAAUGAUGACUAUAUUUUAAAAUAAAUGGUAGUCAUACCCUUAAGUAUGCCUACCAAAGUUCUGAGUAGUCAACUUUAUGAGGCAUUUCAUUAAAAACCCUCACUUUAACGUAUAAGGCAUUUCUUUGCUUUUUCAAAGACUGAUUUGAAUUUUUCCUUCCAGAGCUUUCAGGAGAGAUCUACUAUGUGGUCAUUUUUGCAGUUUUAUAGUUGGUUCAGCUAAUCUAGUGUUGUGCUCUUUCCUUUAGCUCUUGGGUUGAUAGCUUAUGGCAGUGAUAGUCAAGUGUAUCACGCCGUGAAGUCAACUGUUUGAAAAAACACUGUGAAGUGGUUCGAUAUGGAUAUGAUGUCAUAAUCUUCUUUUUGAAGAUAAAGAAACUAAGACUAUAUCAUAAUGUUCUUCUUGAAGAUGAAGAAAUGAAGACUCUUUUUCUAGCAAUCAGUGUCUGACCAGAUGAUAUUCUCUGAACAGAUAGUAUUAACUAGAUCUCCAAUGCAGGUAAAGUCUUAUUUUUUUGGGAAACUUAAUUUUACUUAAAAAGCACUCCCAACAUUGUAAAGUAUUUUGUUCAAAUUAUGUUUGCACAUUGUGUGUAAAAAUUAAUGUCUCAAUAUUUCUAUGGAUACUUAUACCCAUGAAAUGUUUUGUCCAUUGAAAAAAACCUAAAAAAAUCUCACUAUGUAAGAACUUAGAGGAAGGUACUUUUUCAAUCUGAUCAACUCACUAUUGAGUCUAGGAUAGCGCUUAAAAUUUUUGGAAAAAAUAUUGACUAAAUGACAUUGUAAACCUAUUAAAUCAAUUUCUUAGGGGUGGGUAUGUGCUGUAAAACAUCCUCCUCUAUACUGAUUGGUAUAUAUUUCCAUAGUUUCCUCAACGCAGCUUGCCAUGGGAUAAGCCGCAAUGAUAGGGUAAUAAAUAAGUGUGAGAUUUUAUGUGGCAAGUAUUUGGGUUAUAUUUUUCUAUUCUUUUUAACUGUGUCCUUCUACUAGAUUGAACUAUUUAAAAAUUGCUGCUUUUGUAGAUGAAAAAUUGAAUAAUGAUAAAUUUAUCAUAAUUCAAUCUAUAGAUACACAAAUAUCCUUCAUUUAUUUUUUCACCUUUGGUUUUGUGUACAAGACAAUAUAAAAGUGAUUCUUGUGUGCAAUAAUUUGUCUAAGAGAGAGCAUCAUUUGUCUUCAAACUCCCAUCGAACAUAAAUGUCCUGGAGUAAGAGACUCAUAGCCUUUGAGAGCUGGAAGAAACUAUGCUAAUCACCCAUUCCAGUUUUCUAAUUUUAAAUAAGGGAAACUAUGGGACAGUAUUUUCACUUUAGGACAUUUCAAAUCUAGAGAAGAUUAGCAUUUAAGGUAGAAAUUUCUCCUUUAGUUAUUAUCAGCAUAUUUAAAGUUGGGAUUAGAGUUGGGAUUAAAGUUCUUCUUUCCUGAUCUCCAGAAGGAAAAUUAAACCAUACAGUCAUUUUAAUUUGCAACUCUCACUUAUCUUACAGCCCAAAUCUAAGAUCACUACAGUGACCUAUCUAUCUUGACUCGAAUAUGUGAAAUUAUAGUUAAUGAAAAAAAAUUAAUUUUAAAGGUUGGUGAACUAAGUGUUUAUUUCUGUCAUUUUAGUCUGCAUUUCUAAGAUUCAGAUGUUCUGCCUACUUGCAAAAGGUUUCAUUGAGAAAGUAGUUAUCCAGCAUGUGUACAUGUGUGUGUAUAUAUACAUAGAUUCAAUACUUAUGUAUACACAUACACAAAAUACAUGUACACACAAUACAAAAUACAUAUAAAAUUUAUGUAUACACACAGGAAAAUUAGACUUUGUCAACAUCCAGAUUUUGUUUCUUUAAAGCAUUCUCUAAAAACAAUGUAAUACAAUAAAUUAUAUUUUUCCAAAGUAUUAUUAUUAUGUGGAAUGUUGGUUGAAAAAUAGACUACCUAUCAUUCAACACAAAUUGAGUCUUGGGUGGAAGUUAAAGUGAGGAAUAAAAAUCCUGCUUUGAUUUUAGCAACAUGCCUUAAUUUUCCAUAUGUGUUUUAUUUAUUCACCAAGUAUACUCUGAAGCCAUUCAGAUAUAAUAAUAAUACAGUGCUAAUGAUAUAAAGGAUUAUUUAGAUAUUUCAGAAACUGUGAGUUGUACUUAAAAUAUUUAUUAUUCAUUCCUUGAAAGGAUGAAACCAGGGUCUGUCUACACACUCUUUCUCAUACAUAGUUUAUGAAGCAGACGGAGCUGAGCAAGUUGACAUGAAAGACAUAGAACAUACUACUUAGAAGCCAAGAUGAAAUAUUUUAGCUAGUUUUGUUAAUUAAAUAAAAAAUAUUUUAACUUAAUUCGAUGGGAAAUAUUUCAAAGUUUCUCUUACAGCUAAUUAAGCUAAGUAUUAAUGUGAAUGUGUAAAGUGACUGAUUUUUAAAGCUAUCAGGAAAUUACACUCUGCCAAAUAUUAUACUGCAGCUAGAAUCUAGAUGAUGGCAGGAUAUGAAAACCAAAAAACUGUCUAAAAAUUUUAUUAAAAAUAUGAGUCAGUCUCAAUCGGUUUAUCAAGGCAUACAUUUUGUUGGAGUGCCAGAAAAGACCAUAAUGUGUAUGUGAACAUUUGUCUUUGUGUUAAAUUAAUUAGCUUUAGAAUAAAAAUGUAAAAAUUAUUUGCCCACCUGUGUGUGCCAUAGAACCAAUCAGCAAUUUGUUUGACUUUCAGGCCAAUUGCGAUUUAAGCAUUAGGCAUUGCUAAUGGGAAGGAACUAAAUACUCUCUAAUUGUUGCUAUUCUUGUUUCCAACCACAAUGUUAAAUCAUACCACUAACAAUGUAUAGAAAUGAAGCACUGCAGUGCUCCAAUAAUUAAAAAUUAAGACCUAAAUUCUGGCUCACCACUUUCUAUAGGUAAAAUAGAAUAGUGCAAACAUAUCUAUGAGUGUCUCUAUAUCAACAUACAUCAUUAGAAAUAGAUAUCUUGUGUCCUCUUGAUUUUCAUAGUAUGAUUAUCUCUUUAAAAAUAAAGGACAUGAACAGAUACUUUUCAAAAGAAGACAUACUUAUGACCAACA